Molecule: long non-coding RNA, 3847 nt
Organism: Chenopodium quinoa (quinoa)
Lineage: Eukaryota; Viridiplantae; Streptophyta; Magnoliopsida; Caryophyllales; Amaranthaceae
Exons: 2
Source: RefSeq, a predicted model, not a curated record
AGGAACUAAUUUGGACCGUUAGAUAUAAGAGAAGAGGUGCGCGAUCUAACGACCCAAAUUAAUUCAGACAAAUUGACUGAGUUUCUCUCUCCUCUCCUCCGCGAUUUUCUCUCUCCUCACUAACUCCAUUUUCGUUCUCCUCUACCAUAAGCUCAAAUCUUAUCAAUUCAACGCGUUUUUGAAAUUCAUGUUGCUUAAACUCAUCAUUGUCUUGAAAUCUACAAUUUGAACCCAGAUUUGUGUAAUUUUUCGAUACAAAUUAGGUAAAACCCAGAUUUGUGCCAUUUUCGUUCUCCUCUACCAUUUUCGUUCUCCUCUACUCCAUUGAUGCGGAUUUUGAGCUUUCCCUAUUCCGUUGAAGCAUCUUCUGAGAACAUUGCUGAAUGGGAGGUGCUUCCCUGCUAUUGGUGCGAUGAAGAUAAAUUUUGAUGCUCACAUUGGUGCAAACGGAUUUAUGGGGCUGGGUGUGUCCAUUAGGGAUGAAAAAGGGUGCAUAAUAGCUACUGCAGUAGUGUAGAGGGUGGGUGCGAGGUGGGAUGUAGAGCUCGUUAAGGUUGCAGCACCGAGAAUGGGGGUUCUGAUUGCACACCAAAUGGGGUUGAUGAAGAUUAAAUUGGAGGGCAACACGCAUAAUGUAGUGCAUAAAUUGAACAUGAAGCUGCAGGAUACUCUCCUUUAAUGCUACUGUACGAAGGCAUUAAGAGAUUGAAGCAGGCUUUCACUUCCUUCAAAUGUAGUCAUAUUCGUCGGGCGGGUAAUACGUUAGCACACCUUAUUGCUAGAUACAAUACUAGUGAGUCGAUGUUUGUAUGGCUUGACAAUUUUCCCCAAAACUUUUUAACUUUGGCGGAGCUUGAUUUAACUGAAUAAUAUUGCUCGGCUAACGUUCCUUCAAAAAAAAAAAAAGUUAACCUAUUAGCUCAAGUGGUAGAGCACUAUGCGGAUGCAUAAAGGUGUAUGUUUAAUUCCUACAUAGGUUAUCUCUAAAAGUAAAUAUAAGACACCUUGGCUCGUUAGAAAUAUUGUCUACGUAACAAUCAAAAGUAAAUAAAAAAAACCCAUAAUGUAAAUCAAACUAUCUUUAAAGUAAAUAGAGAAAUUAAAAAAUAAUUCUAAAAACAUCUCUAAAGUAAUUUAAAAUAGCUCGAAAAGAAAUCAAAAGUGAAUAAUUAUAUCUCAAAAGUAAAUCAUAAUAGCUUAAAAGUAAAUAAAAAGCAAUAAAAAGUAAAUUAAAAUAGCAUCAAAUAAAUAAAUAAUAUCCUGUAAAAAAGAAGUAAAUAAAUAAUAUUUACUCAAAAGUAAAUAUAUCUACUCAAAAGCAAAUUAGUAAACUUAAAAAGACGGGUCAAAUUAGAGCAUGGGUCAACGACAUACAUUCAGUCUAGGGUGAACAUAUCUUUAAUUAGGGCAAACAUAUCCUUAAUCCUUAUAUAAGUGAGCUUGAGUUUCUAGUAAUAAAAGUAGAUACAAAAUAAGUUAAAGUAAAUAGAAAUGAAAUUCACCUUCUCUACUUCUAAAAUUAGGAAAUUGCUAUGAAGAAAUGCUUAUUGACAGUCUCCAACUGCUAUGAAUGCUUAAAUACAUAGUAUAUGAUUAUGAACCUAUGUGGGAUUUGAACCCACAUCUUUUGUGCAAUUGCACAAUGCUCUACCCCGAGCUAGUAGGCUAGUGUUAUCAAUCUAUUUAAGUAGUACUAAUUGUAUAGAGAAAAUAAGUCAUGCAAAUGAAGAAUUGAGCUUGUAGGCUAGUCUAUGUAAAACAUUCACAAUAAAUAAAAAAAUUACUUAAAAGUAAACCAAAUAAUCUUAAAAGUAAAUAAAAUAAUCUAUAAAGUAACUGCAAUAAAGCCUUUGGUUAUGGUAACAUAGUUUUGUUCUUUUAUUUCGUAUCUGGGUAGGGGUUGGAGUUGGAAAUGGGGCAUGUCACUGUUUGGUGAUAAAGUGUUGAACUCAAAAUACCUCAGCUCAGAGGUAAAUAAAAAAAAGGCUAAAAAGUAAAUUAAAACAUCAUUAUAGUAAUAAAUAAUAAUACUUCUGCUCAUGCUUCUGCUGCUCCUCCUGCACAGGCUGCACUCUUGCUCACAGCAGCUUCCUGUUUCGCUCAACUUUAAGAACUCCCCAGCAGCAUUUAUAGCAGCAGCAGGCGGUAGAGCGGAAAUAGUAUAGCAACAGCAAGCUAUGGCAAGGAAGCAGCUGCAGCAACAGCCUAGGCAAGGCCAGCAACUGUAGCAGCAGCCUAGGCCGGGCCAGCAAUAGCAGCAGCCUUGGCAGGGCUUGCAGGGCAGCAGCUGCAGCCUUGGCAGGGCCUGCGUGGCAAGGCAGCAGCACUCAACCUGAUCAUUUACAAGAAAGUGAAUAUGGAUGCAUAUGUUAGAGUGGGGCGGGCUAAUAGGCUUGGGACAGUGAUCGUGGAUGAGUUGGAUAAGGUUGUAGCUGCUGGAAAAGUAUGCUCAUACUACACUUCUCUUGCAAUUGCUGAAACUCUCGCAUUAAGAUACGACCUCCAGCUAGCAAGAAGAUUGGGGUAUUUAAAAGUAAAUAAAAAAGAAUCUAAAGUGAAUAAAAAAGAAUUUAAAGUAAACUGAAUGAAAUACACACAAAUAAUUAAAAGAAAUAAUUUCAUCUCAUAAAUAAACCUACGUGGGAUUCGAACCCACAUCUUUUGUGCACUUGCACAAAUGCUCUACCUAUUGAGCUAGUAGGCUAAUGUAUAUUGUCAAAGUAAAGAAAAAUACUCAAAAAAAAAAUAAAAAAAAAAUAACACGAUCUCAAAAGUAAAUCUAAUAUGAGAGGUAUGAUCCUAAAACUGGAUACUUGCAUAGUCCAAAUCCCAAAAGACUACAGAGUAUUAGAUAUAGAAGGAUCUGGCAUACUUGCUUUGGGGUAUGAAAUAUUUCAACAAAUGGAUAUAUUCCUUCCUUUGUUGUGCUAUACAAAAAGCCUGGAUACUUAGGACACUCAACCUGACAAUACACAAAGUAUCAAAAUUAUUAGAGAUAAAACUGACUAAAAUAUCAUUACAUAAUGCAACAAUACUGUAGUGGAAUGCACAAAAUGCAUUCAGAUCCUUAUAAUCCCUUUUUAUAUAUUCUAUACAUCCAAUAUGCCUCAUAUACUAGAGCGAUGUAGAGAAGAUACAUGACAUGCAGAAUAAACCACAUCAACCACCAUCGGCUACUGGCAAGCAUAACCCCACCAGCCUAGCUCUUUCAUCCACCCAAACAACAGCAACCAACACACGGCACCACACCCUUUGCCCUGUGCUCCUUCACCACAUAUAGCCACACCAUUCACACAACACCCAAGGCUACAAAGAAAACCCACACAACAACUAAUCACACCACAAAUAGCAAUUGUGCAGCUGGCCACAAACAGCACAAUACAUCUCUACCGUUAUCCAAACACUUUAACAUUAUCCAUCCCUAUUGUCUUAAGAUAACAUUCAAAGGCUUUGCUAUUAAAAGAUGUCAAUUUAUGCAACAUAAAAAAAAAGGGAGAAAUCUUUUUAACAAACUGCCCUUUUGCUUGAUAGUCCAAGAGAUAAAAGUACUGCAAACCCAACAAUAACAACAAUCCCAAUUGCCAUUAUUACCAGACGAUUUCUCAGUCCAGGCCAGCCUAACACCUCCUCCUAACAGAGGUUCACCAGUUCAUCAUCAUAUUAUAGUCUUACUUCUUUCAAGCAUUUCAUCGAACAUGUAAAACUCAAUCUAAAGCUCAAGCUAAAUCCCAACAACAACAACAACAACAAAACAAAAUCAUGACCAAAGACUCAAAAUAAUGCAAAGAACAAUAAAUCGUAAUAUAAGACUUAAAACAACACAAAAUCAUACAAUUAGACUCAAAAU